UACGGGGGGGGGCAAGCGUUGUUCGGAAUUACUGGGCGUAAAGGGCUCGUAGGCGGCCAACUAAGUCCGACGUGAAAUCCCCAGGCUUAACCUGGGAACUGCGUCGGAUACUGGAUGGCUUGAACCCGGGGAGAGGGAUGCGGAAUUCCAGGUGUAGCGGUGAAAUGCGUAGAUAUCUGGAGGAACACCGGUGGCGAAGGCGGCAUCCUGGACCGGCAUUGACGCUGAACAGCGAAAGCCAGGGGGAGCAAACGGG
RNAcentral lists this ribosomal RNA (256 nucleotides) under uncultured bacterium. RNAcentral describes it as "partial 16S ribosomal RNA". It matches the Rfam family "Bacterial small subunit ribosomal RNA", at positions 524 to 776 of the family's 1533-position model. The record is from RNAcentral.